GGGGGCAGGGAGGAUUAAAAAAAUGGAAGAUUAAAUGAGAGUAAAUGAUAGCUUGAGAGGAGAUUAUGCCCUGCUAGAGAUGCGUAGCUACAAACUAGUUUCAUAUACUUGCCAUGUUUAGUCUAUACUUUCAAAUAAUCUCAAGAAAUGAGUUUACUUAUUUUCAAAAUUGAACUAACACUAUCUAAUACACCUCACAUUUUCUUCACUUUGUGACUCUAUGUGAGUUACUGGAGUAAUGAGAAUAUAACUGUAUAAUCUGCAGUCCUCCUUGAUCAUGGACUCCAUCCCCAUCCAAUCAGUUUUCAGCUCUCGCUCUAGAACUUGCCUAGUUUUGGUCAUCAUUUCAUUUUCAUGGUACAGCAGACAGAAAUACAUAUAACCUAUUUUGUGCAGUUGUACCUUAUCAUUAUUUAAAAUAAGAAUUAUGGCUUUGGUUAUCUCCAAAACCUUAUUCAAUCUUGUUCAACAUUAUACUGCACUUUUACUGAAAAAGCAGGCUUUCUUUCAGACCAUUUAAUCAAAAAAGCUCAUUUUUUACCUGACUCAUAUAACCCUAUUUAACCUUUUUAAUCUAUUCUCAAAAAUCUUGUUGUCCAUUUCCAUCAGCACAAUUCAACAAUACCUGCAUACUUUGAGACUUUAUUAUGUCAAAAUUAUUUAUAAAAACAAUAAUAUCGGCUCUA
RNAcentral lists this long non-coding RNA (686 nucleotides) under Bos taurus (domestic cattle). RNAcentral's name for it is "long non-coding RNA NONBTAT022564". The record is from RNAcentral. Lineage: Eukaryota; Metazoa; Chordata; Mammalia; Artiodactyla; Bovidae.